Molecule: long non-coding RNA, 817 nt
Organism: Bombyx mori (domestic silkworm)
Lineage: Eukaryota; Metazoa; Arthropoda; Insecta; Lepidoptera; Bombycidae
Exons: 2
Source: RefSeq, a predicted model, not a curated record
AUUAUCUUGAAUUCCCUAUUUCUUAAUUUCACUUACCAAAUAUAUAGACGUGUUCUGUCAGGGCGUUGGUUUGCGACAGAAAAUAAAAUAGGCCUAUUAAAAUUACAGUUUUCAUUUUGUACUUGAACAAAAUCUCUAAUGACCGGACUUAUGAUUAUUCUGUUAGUUUUAUAUUAAAUUGUCCAAUUAAAAGAAAAAAAAUCGUUACAAAUUAGACGCGUGUCUAAGUGUGAAAUGUUAGUUAGUUUUCCUUUAGAUUAUAAUUGCGUUGUUUUAAAUCAAAUUAAAUAGUGGUAGGUACCACUGUUAAUAAUUAUUUUUAUGCAUAGAUGAUUAAACGAGCGGUUAAUGGGGAUCUCACAACAUGAAUGCCGCCACCCACCUUGUGACUUAAGGUAUUCAACGCCUGCCCCAUCCUUCACAUCGGAACGCAUUACAGCUUCCCGGCAGAAAUAAGCGGGAUUCGAACAUCGGCUCAGUCGCAUCGCACGAUACGCAUGUACCUACCGGGAGUCUUAUCCCUUAGGCCACGAUGACUACUGUACAUAUGUAUAAGGGCUUCAACAACAACGGAACAUCCAUCUAAAACGAGAUGGUCCGUAAACGCAUUCGUCUAGAUUUUCGAGUCUAGAUCAAAAAACUGAUACCCGAAAAACUAUAUUCGAGGGUAUUUUACUGAGAAUCGGUUUUUCUAAAAAUAAACCUUAUUCUAUCUCUGGAAACUGUUUAUUAAAAUCGAAAUAAAAGUAACUUUAAUGUCAAAACGAAAUGAUUAAGGUUAAUGUUUGAGAUUAAUGUUUGUUUAUGGAACAGUAUC